UGGGGAAUCUUGGACAAUGGGGGCAACCCUGAUCCAGCGACGCCGCGUGGGUGGUAAGGCCUUCGGGUUGUAAAGCCCUUUCAGCGGGGAGGAUGAUGACGUCACCCGGAGAAGAAGCACCGGCUAACUCUGUGCCAGCAGCCGCGGUAAUACAGAGGGUGCGAACGUUGCUCGGAUUUACAGGGCGUAAAGCGCGUGUAGGCGGACAAGCAAGUCGGUUGUGAAAUCCCUGGGCUCAACCUAGGAACUGCAUCCGAAACUGCUUGUCUUGAGUAAUGGAGAGGGUGGCGGAAUUCCCGGUGUAGAGGUGAAAUUCGUAGAUAUCGGGAGGAACAUCAGUGGCGAAGGCGGCCACCUGGACAUUCACUGACGCUGAGACGCGAAAGCGUGGGGAGCAAACAGGAUUAGAUACCCCUGUAGUCC
This 423-nucleotide ribosomal RNA is filed under the name uncultured prokaryote. Its description in RNAcentral is "bacterial SSU rRNA". It matches the Rfam family "Bacterial small subunit ribosomal RNA", at positions 355 to 796 of the family's 1533-position model. The record is from RNAcentral.